Molecule: ribosomal RNA, 350 nt
Filed under: uncultured bacterium
Lineage: Bacteria
Description: bacterial SSU rRNA
Rfam family: Bacterial small subunit ribosomal RNA
Source: RNAcentral
GCCGCGUGAGUGAUGACGGCCUUCGGGUUGUAAAGCUCUGUCCUCAUGACGUAAUGACGGUCUUGAGGAGGAAGCCCGGCUACUAGUGCCGCAGCCGCGGUAAACGUAGGGGGCUAGCGUUGCCGGAUUACUGGGCGUAAAGGGUGCGUAGGCGGAUUUUUAAGUGAGAUGUGAAAUGCUCGGGCUCAACCUGAGUGCUGUUUGAAACUGGGAAAUCUAAAUGGCAGAAAAGAAAGUGGAAAUUCCUAUGGUACCGUGAAAAUGCUAAAUAUUUAGAAGAAACCCAUUGGCAAAGGCGCUCCCCUGACUGGAACUUGACCCUAAGGCUCAAAGCCUGGGGAAGCAAACAG